AUAUAGGUCAAGCUACAAAGGGCGCAUGGUGAAUGCCUUGGCAUCAGGAGCCGAUGAAGGACGUGAUAAGCUGCGAUAAGCUUCGGGUAGGCGCACAUAGCCUGAGAUCCGAAGAUCUCCGAAUGAGGAAACUCACAUGGGAAACCCCAUGUAUCAUUAAGUGAAUACAUAGCUUAAUGAAGGUAACCCAGGGAACUGAAACAUCUAAGUACCUGGAGGAAGAGAAAGAAAAAUCGAUUUUCUUAGUAGCGGCGAGCGAAAGGGAAAGAGCCCAAACCGGAAACUUGUUUCCGGGGUUGAGGACAUAACAUAAAGAGAAGUAAUGGCUAAUUGAAGAGAACUGGAAAGUUCCACCGUAGAAGGUAAUAGUCCUGUAAAUGAAAGCUAGUAUAAUCGAGUUAUGAUCCAGAGUACCACGAGACACGUGAAACCUUGUGGGAAGCAGGGAGGACCACCUCCCAAGGCUAAAUACUACCUGAUGACCGAUAGUGAAGCAGUACCGUGAGGGAAAGGUGAAAAGAACCCCGGGAGGGGAGUGAAAUAGAACCUGAAACCGUGUGCCUACAACCGCUCAGAGCCCCUUAUGAGGGUGAUGAGGUGCUUUUUGUAGAACGAGCCAACGAGUUACGGUAUGUAGCAAGGUUAAGUACUUAAGGUACGGAGCCGAAGGGAAACCGAGUCUGAAUAGGGCGACUAGUUGCAUGCCGUAGACCCGAAACCGGGUGACCUAUCCAUGGCCAGGUUGAAGCGAGGGUAAAACCUCGUGGAGGACCGAACCACGUUGCUGUUGAAAAAGCAUGGGAUGAGCUGUGGAUAGCGGAGAAAUUCCAAUCGAACCCGGAGAUAGCUGGUUCUCUCCGAAAUAGCUUUAGGGCUAGCGUCGAGUAUGAGUAGUGGAGGUAGAGCACUGAAUGGGCUAGGGGGCAUAGCGCUUACCGAACCUUAUCAAACUCCGAAUGCCACAUACUUUGAGCUCGGCAGUCAGACUACGAAUGAUAAGAUCCGUGGUCAAAAGGGAAACAGCCCAGAUCGUCAGCUAAGGUCCCAAAGUGUAAGUUAAGUGGGAAAGGAUGUGAGAUUUCUAAGACAACUAGGAUGUUGGCUUAGAAGCAGCCAUUCAUUAAAAGAGUGCGUAAUAGCUCACUAGUCGAGAGAUCUUGCGCCGAAAAUGUAACGGGGCUAAACUUACCACCGAAGCUACGGGCUUGAACUUAGUUCAAGCGGUAGGAGAGCGUCGUAACCGGGCUGAAGUCGUACCGUAAGGAGCGGUGGACUGGUUACGAGUGAGAAUGUUGGCAUCAGUAGCGAGAUGUGGGUGAGAAUCCCACAGGCCGAAAACCUAAGGUUUCCUCAGGAAGGUUCGUCCGCUGAGGGUUAGUCGGGACCUAAGCCGAGGCCGAAAGGCGUAGGUGAUGGACAACUGGUUGAUAUUCCAGUACCACUACCAUCGUUAUUAUCGAUGGCGUGACGCAGGAGGAUAGUGUGUGCUAGCUAUUGGAUGCUAGUCUAAGCGUUUAGGCAGUGAGAGUAGGCAAAUCCGCUCUCAUAAUGCUGAGGCGUGAUGGGGAAGGUUCCACGGAACCGAAGUACAUGAUUCCACGCUGCCAAGAAAAGCGUCUAGAGAGAGAAGUAGUGCCCGUACCGCAAACCGACACAGGUAGGUGAGGAGAGAAUCCUAAGGCCGGCGGAAGAAUUACAGUUAAGGAACUCGGCAAAUUGACCCCGUAAGUUCGCGAGAAGGGGUGCCUACGAGAGUAGGCCGCAGAGAAUAGGCCCAAGCAACUGUUUAGCAAAAACACAGGUCUCUGCUAAAGCGUAAGCUGAUGUAUAGGGGCUGACGCCUGCCCGGUGCUGGAAGGUUAAGGGGAACACUUAGCGCAAGCGAAGGUGUGAACUUAAGCCCCAGUAAACGGCGGCCGUAACUAUAACGGUCCUAAGGUAGCGAAAUUCCUUGUCAGGUAAGUUCUGACCCGCACGAAUGGCGUAAUGACUUGGGCACUGUCUCAACUGUAAAUCCGGCGAAGUUGUAGUGCGAGUGAAGAUGCUCGCUACCCGCGAUUGGACGGAAAGACCCCGUAGAGCUUUACUGUAGCUUAGCAUUGAGUUUUGGUAUUGUCUGUACAGGAUAGGUGGGAGACUAGGAAACCAGGGCGUCAGCCUUGGUGGAGUCAACCUUGGGAUACCACCCUGACAGUACUGAAAUUCUAACUGGCGGCCAUGAAUCUGGUCACAGGACAUUGUUAGGUGGGCAGUUUGACUGGGGCGGUCGCCUCCUAAAAAGUAACGGAGGCGCCCAAAGGUUCCCUCAGAACGGUCGGAAAUCGUUCGAAGAGUGCAAAGGCAGAAGGGAGCCUGACUGCGACACCCACAAGUGGAGCAGGGACGAAAGUCGGGCUUAGUGAUCCGGUGGUACCUCGUGGGAGGGCCAUCGCUCAACGGAUAAAAGCUACCUCGGGGAUAACAGGCUGAUCUCCCCCAAGAGUCCACAUCGACGGGGAGGUUUGGCACCUCGAUGUCGGCUCGUCGCAUCCUGGGGCUGAAGUAGGUCCCAAGGGUUGGGCUGUUCGCCCAUUAAAGCGGCACGCGAGCUGGGUUCAGAACGUCGUGAGACAGUUCGGUCCCUAUCCGUCGCGGGCGUAGGAAAUUUGAGAGGAGCUGUCCUUAGUACGAGAGGACCGGGAUGGACUGACCUCUGGUGUACCAGUUGUUCCGCCAGGAGCACAGCUGGGUAGCUAAGUCGGGAAUGGAUAAACGCUGAAAGCAUCUAAGCGUGAAGCCAACCUCAAGAUGAGAUUUCCCAUAGCGUAAGCUAGUAAGAUCCCUUGAAGAACACAAGGUUGAUAGGUCGGGGGUGUAAGCAUGGUAACAUG
Molecule: ribosomal RNA, 2870 nt
Filed under: Clostridium perfringens
Lineage: Bacteria; Bacillati; Bacillota; Clostridia; Eubacteriales; Clostridiaceae
Description: partial 23S ribosomal RNA
Rfam family: Bacterial large subunit ribosomal RNA
Source: RNAcentral